GACGAACGCUGGCGGCGUGCUUAACACAUGCAAGUCGAACGGAAAGGCCUAGCUUGCUGGGUACUCGAGUGGCGAACGGGUGAGUAACACGUGGGUGAUCUGCCCCUGACUUUGGGAUAAGCCUGGUAAACUGGGUCUAAUACCGGAUAUUCAUUUUUCCUCGCAUGGGGAUUUGUGGAAAGCUUUUGCGGUUGGGGAUGGGCCCGCGGCCUAUCAGCUUGUUGGUGAGGUAAUGGCCUACCAAGGCGACGACGGGUAGCCGACCUGAGAGGGUGAUCGGCCACACUGGGACUGAGACACGGCCCAGACUCCUACGGGAGGCAGCAGUGGGGAAUAUUGCACAAUGGGCGCAAGCCUGAUGCAGCGACGCCGCGUGAGGGAUGACGGCCUUCGGGUUGUAAACCUCUUUCAGCUCCGACGAAGCGCAAGUGACGGUAGGAGCAGAAGAAGCACCGGCCAACUACGUG
RNAcentral lists this ribosomal RNA (467 nucleotides) under uncultured bacterium. RNAcentral's name for it is "partial 16S ribosomal RNA". It matches the Rfam family "Bacterial small subunit ribosomal RNA", at positions 28 to 507 of the family's 1533-position model. The record is from RNAcentral.